GUCAAAUCAGGUUCACUUUGCAGAGCCGCAGCUUUUGCCAGCUCGUCAAGAACACCAGCCACUGCAGCUGCACCUUUCCAAAACACCUCAUGGCAUAUCAACAUUUAUCUAUGAAGCUAAACUUUUCAUUUUCUUCUUAGGUCCAAUUUUUGGUUCAAUGGAUUUAAGCCAUUGCUUCUUUUGGCUGAGCUGAAUUCAGCAGAGGACAUCAGUGCUGAACAACGCCCUGGAUAAAUCACCACACAAAGCAGGUACAAACCUGGAAGGAAAAUUGGAAUUGGUCUUUAUGUGCAUGUUCCAAAGCUGCUGAAAUAACCUGACAUCAUUUUACUGACUUCAAGAAGCUGUAGGAUUCUGUAUCUUGAUGGUUUCCUGGUGAGUGAGAUGAGACUGAAUGAGAAGUGGGACACAAGCUCCUGCCUUACCAGCACAGCACUUUCUUACUGUGAUAUGAAGGAAGAAACUAGGGGGGACUUUGGGAAGAAAGCAAAGAAUAAGUAGCUGGUUGUGCUGCUCGGGCACUCAGACUGAACCCAGUCAGGCGAGGCAUCAAACGGGAGGGUUGUUUGUCCUUCCUGUGGCUGCCAGGGAUGUUUAAACUGUAAUAGGCUUAUUGCUCGACCUGUGGUGCAGAAGUACUUCUUUAUGAAUUGG
This is a long non-coding RNA of Cuculus canorus (common cuckoo), 654 nucleotides long. RefSeq lists it as uncharacterized. The record is from RefSeq and is a predicted model, not a curated record. The transcript is spliced from 5 exons. NCBI's taxonomy places the organism in Eukaryota, Metazoa, Chordata, Aves, Cuculiformes, Cuculidae.